Molecule: long non-coding RNA, 1324 nt
Organism: Denticeps clupeoides (denticle herring)
Lineage: Eukaryota; Metazoa; Chordata; Actinopteri; Clupeiformes; Denticipitidae
Source: Ensembl
AACCUCUCAGAAAUUAGAAUCAGAAAUCAGUAGAAUACUGAAAACACAGUAUUAUUUCUUAAUAUGGGUGGUUGUAGCCUAGUGGGUAACACACUCGCCUAUGAACCAGAAGACCCGGGUUCGAAUCCCACUUACUACCAUUGUGUCCCUGAGCAAGACACUUAACUCUAAGUUGCUCCAGGGGGACUGUCCCUGUAAAUACUGAUUGUAAGUCGCUCUGGAUAAGGGCGUCUGAUAAAUGCUGUAAAUGUUAAUGUCUUACCAGUGUGACCUGCUACCCUUGGGAGGAUCUUGCGCAGUGGCCUCCUGGUGACUGUUGGCUCCUUGGGCUUCUUCCGAGGCCGGCCCAUCCUUCUCUUAAAGAAAUCUCUCUCUCUGUCUCCUGAAAAGAAAGCUUUACAGCUUAAAAAGGGCCAGAAGUCAGGAUUGCAUACAGAAGGUUCACCUUGCGUUGUUGCAGUAGCACCCUGGACAAGGUCAGCUCCCCCCUAUUAGAAGAUGGUGGACCAAUGCAACGUCUGCAUUGCCGAGCAGACCCACGCCAUCUUUAACGGCCUCACUCCGACAGGAGCACCAAUCAAAGUCAGGUAUGGGAGGAGCUCCGUAAAUUACAGGCUCCUCCUACAAAAAGGAAAACAAACAAGAUAACACAGAACACAGACAGCACGUCACAUGACCAUGGGACGUAACACGCACAUCCACUUCUGGUAAUUUUACAAGCAUAAUAACACAGUUUCUCAUACCUCGUUGGCCAUGUUAGCUCAGGAAACAUCUCUUCAUAAGAUCUCUUCAUUUACACUUUGCCUUGAUAUUAAUUUCAGCUGAGCACACGCAUUCUACUUAACACUAGAACUCCCAGGAUUUUCUGACCCCCUCAGCCUUACCAGAGGUGGCCCAAAUGGCCCCUUGGUUUGAAACUAACAACUCAAUCACUGACAAAUGGCUCCCAUUCAUUUGUAAUGGAGACUGGAGACUGAUGUGUUCAUUUUCAUUCAUUUUCAUUCUAUUAGCAACUUUUCAUUCUAUUUUCAGCCUAUUUUAAUAAAUAAAACACACUUGUGUUUCUAUAUAUUUUGUGAAUGUGUGUAUUUCAUACUUGCAGGUCAGUCAGUGUGUGGGAUAUUUUGUAUAAUUUUGUAAGCUUUUGUGAAGGUUUCAAUGUCACACACAUACUGUAGCUUUGGCCUGUCUUGAAGCAGUGAUGUGGGUAAAGAAAUGUAAAUAUGCCAGGGUUCACAGGUAACUAGUGUUUUUGCACAACAAAAGCAGGAGGAUGAUGGAGCUGAUGGCCUCUCCACAGGAGGUUAAAGGUGCUGAAAGCAGA